Molecule: long non-coding RNA, 1028 nt
Organism: Gadus chalcogrammus (walleye pollock)
Lineage: Eukaryota; Metazoa; Chordata; Actinopteri; Gadiformes; Gadidae
Exons: 3
Source: RefSeq, a predicted model, not a curated record
AUUGGUUGAAGACGGAAGGAGGAAUGAAGGAAACAAUUAGAUGAAUCCAAUAUAAUACGUCUGUAAAUAAACAGAUGUAGGGAAUCAGAGUAUUGUUACUCCUGGGGGCGCAGCGCCACACUCAGCACAACUCCCCCGCUAUUUUUCAAAACCCAGGUACUACCAGCCAAGUUCUUACCAUGCAACAUGCGAGUUGAAUAGCAACUAGCCUUGAAUUAGCCUCAGAGGUAAUAACUUACUUCCGGGUCUGUCCUGUCCCUGGUUUGAUCCGAGGUGUUUCCGACAGCGUGUUUUUGGGGUUGUUGUCUUUUAUGUCCCUUAACUCAGAAGUUUUCAAAAUAAAAGUGUUUCCUAAGCUUCUCUUUUUUUCCAGUUGUAGUUUGAUACUCUGAGAGUCCCAGGAUUUCCCCACAGACGAUAUAAAGUAGGCUACAGCAUUACUAUACGUUGACUUUGUAUGGAGUCGAACGCGCCCGUCGCCUGGAACGCGUCUAUACGUUGACUUUGUAUGGAAGUUGCGCCGCCCCUUCGCUUUUGGUGUGAACGCGCCAUUACUUUAGUUUCGCCAGAGCCCGUCUCAUAUUAGACAUUCUCUGGUUUCACUGGAAUUUCACAUAAACGAUGUGACGCAGUUAGCUGUGAUUCAAAGCUCUUCCUCUUUCUGAUCUGUCUGCCAUAAGGACCCAAGCAGCCCAAUCUUUACUCUCAGAACCUUUGUUAAUGUCCUGUCUCGCUUCUAAACACUUCUCUGUUAUUUGGUGAACACCUAAAUCUCUUUAUUCUCUCCUUUCCUUGCAUUUGUUAUUCUAUAUUUCCAUUCAACACGGGCAGCACACGUUUCGUCACGGAAAAGAUAAGGUCUCCAGUCUACUAUGGAUGAGGAGAGAGAGGAGGGGGCUCCUACCUCUAAAACCACCCUGUCUGGGGAACAUGGCCGCCAGAACAAAGCUAAGAGCCCAGAGCAGCGGGAGAGAGCAGACUCCCCUGGACCCAGCUGUGUCUCCUUGAAGAGUGACUGGUCUAUGGAU